UUCCGGUUGAUCCUGCCGGACCCGACUGCUAUUUGGGUGAGAAUAAGCCAUGCGAGUUGAAUGGGAUACCUAAAGUUCCCAUAGCAAACUGCUCAGUAACACAUGAUCAACUUACCCUAUAGAGAAAAAUAACCUCGGGAAACUGAGGAUAAUGUUUCAUAAUUGAAUUGACUUGGAAAAGUUUUUCAAUGAAAAGGAUAAAAAAAAAUGGUUUUUAUCUGCUAUAGGAUAGGAUCGUGUUCGAUUAUGGUUGUUGGUGAGAUAAUGGCUCACCAAGCCGAUAAUCGAUAGGGGCCGUGAGAGCGGGAGCCCCGAGAUGGGUACUGAGACAACGACCCAGGCCUUACGAGGCGCAGCAGGCGCGGAACCUCCGCAAUACACGAAAGUGUGACGGGGUUACCCAAAGUGUUCAAUAGAACUGUGGUAGGUGAGUAAUGUCCCCUACUAGAAAGGAGAGGGCAAGGCUGGUGCCAGCCGCCGCGGUAAAACCAGCUCUUCAAGUGGUCGGGAUAAUUAUUGGGCUUAAAGUGUCCGUAGCCGGUUUAGUAAGUUCCUGGUAAAAUCGGGUAGCUUAACUAUCUGCAUGCUAGGAAUACUGCUAUACUAGAGGGCGGGAGAGGUCUGAGGUACUACAGGGGUAGGGGUGAAAUCUUAUAAUCCUUGUAGGACCACCAGUGGCGAAGACGUCAGACUGGAACGCGCCUGACGGUGAGGGACGAAAGCCAGGGGAGCGAACCGGAUUAGAUACCCGGGUAGUCCUGGCCGUAAACGAUGCAUACUAGGUGAUGAUACGGCCAUGAGCCGUAUCAGUGCUGCAGGGAAACCGUUAAAUGUGCCGCCUGGAAGUACGGUCGCAAGGCUAAAACUUAAAGGAAUUGGCGGGGGAGCACCACAAGGGGUGAAGCCUGCGGUUCAAUUGGAGUCAACGCCGGGAAUCACUAGUGCGGCCG
This 950-nucleotide ribosomal RNA is filed under the name uncultured archaeon. RNAcentral's name for it is "bacterial SSU rRNA". It matches the Rfam family "Archaeal small subunit ribosomal RNA", at positions 1 to 941 of the family's 1478-position model. The record is from RNAcentral.